Molecule: small nucleolar RNA, 144 nt
Organism: Grammomys surdaster
Lineage: Eukaryota; Metazoa; Chordata; Mammalia; Rodentia; Muridae
Product: small nucleolar RNA SNORA48
Exons: 1
Source: RefSeq, a predicted model, not a curated record
ACCCCCAGCAAUGGGCAAAGAGAUAACUACUUGGUGGUGGUGUUCUUAUUAUCAGUCAGGGGCAUAGCAGCUGGCAGUCUUUUAUUCAUCCUAGCCUGAUGCCUGAUUUGGUAGCCAAAGCUGUCUUAUGCCUAGGACUCAAAA